AUCGCCUCUCAGCCUUUUGGCUAAGAUCAAGUGUGGUAUCUGUUCUUAACAGUUAAUAUCUUGAUAAGUCCUCUAUCCGAGGACACUACAUUAAAUGGAUUUUUGGGAUUACGAGAUGGAAUAAGAACUUGCUCUGUCCAUUCCAAGCAUCGACCUGGUAUUGCAGUACCUCCAGGAACGGUGCACCAAAA
This 191-nucleotide small nuclear RNA is filed under the name Castor canadensis (American beaver). Its description in RNAcentral is "U2 spliceosomal RNA (ENSCCNG00000002391.1)". It matches the Rfam family "U2 spliceosomal RNA". Rfam says of the family: U2 is a small nuclear RNA (snRNA) component of the spliceosome (involved in pre-mRNA splicing). Complementary binding between U2 snRNA (in an area lying towards the 5' end but 3' to hairpin I) and the branchpoint sequence (BPS) of the intron results the bulging out of an unpaired adenosine, on the BPS, which initiates a nucleophilic attack at the intronic 5' splice site, thus starting the first of two transesterification reactions that mediate splicing. Lineage: Eukaryota; Metazoa; Chordata; Mammalia; Rodentia; Castoridae. The record is from Rfam by way of RNAcentral.